This 117-nucleotide ribozyme is filed under the name Aedes aegypti (yellow fever mosquito). Its description in RNAcentral is "drz-agam-1 ribozyme". It matches the Rfam family "drz-agam-1 ribozyme". Lineage: Eukaryota; Metazoa; Arthropoda; Insecta; Diptera; Culicidae. The record is from Rfam by way of RNAcentral.
UGCCCAGCAACUUCUAUCCCUACCUCCUCGCGGUACUGGCCGGGGUACGAGUAACCUUAGGGAAGAUCGGGUAACCAAUCCCCGGUGUGAACUUUGGUCGUUUGCUGACAGAGAAGA